This 528-nucleotide ribosomal RNA is filed under the name Pseudo-nitzschia pungens. RNAcentral describes it as "partial Bacterial small subunit ribosomal RNA". It matches the Rfam family "Bacterial small subunit ribosomal RNA", at positions 354 to 892 of the family's 1533-position model. The record is from RNAcentral. Lineage: Eukaryota; Bacillariophyta; Bacillariophyceae; Bacillariales; Bacillariaceae.
GUGGGGAAUAUUGCACAAUGGGCGGAAGCCUGAUGCAGCGACGCCGCGUGAGGGAUGACGGCCUUCGGGUUGUAAACCGCUUUCGCCUGUGACGAAGCGUGAGUGACGGUAAUGGGUAAAGAAGCACCGGCUAACUACGUGCCAGCAGCCGCGGUGAUACGUAGGGUGCGAGCGUUGUCCGGAUUUAUUGGGCGUAAAGGGCUCGUAGGUGGUUGAUCGCGUCGGAAGUGUAAUCUUGGGGCUUAACCCUGAGCGUGCUUUCGAUACGGGUUGACUUGAGGAAGGUAGGGGAGAAUGGAAUUCCUGGUGGAGCGGUGGAAUGCGCAGAUAUCAGGAGGAACACCAGUGGCGAAGGCGGUUCUCUGGGCCUUUCCUGACGCUGAGGAGCGAAAGCGUGGGGAGCGAACAGGCUUAGAUACCCUGGUAGUCCACGCUGUAAACGGUGGGUACUAGGUGUGGGGUCCAUUCCACGGGUUCCGUGCCGUAGCUAACGCUUUAAGUACCCCGCCUGGGGAGUACGGCCGCAAG